Molecule: ribosomal RNA, 429 nt
Filed under: Gemmatimonadota bacterium
Lineage: Bacteria; Pseudomonadati; Gemmatimonadota
Description: Gemmatimonadetes bacterium partial 16S ribosomal RNA
Rfam family: Bacterial small subunit ribosomal RNA
Source: RNAcentral
UAGGGAAUCUUCGGCAAUGUACGAAAGUCUGACCGAGCAACGCCGCGUGAGUGAAGAAGGUUUUCGGAUCGUAAAACUCUGUUGUUAGAGAAGAACAAGGACGUUAGUAACUGAACGUCCCCUGACGGUAUCUAACCAGAAAGCCACGGCUAACUACGUGCCAGCAGCCGCGGUAAUACGUAGGUGGCAAGCGUUGUCCGGAUUUAUUGGGCGUAAAGCGAGCGCAGGCGGUUUCUUAAGUCUGAUGUGAAAGCCCCCGGCUCAACCGGGGAGGGUCAUUGGAGACUGGGAGACUUGAGUGCAGAAGAGGAGAGUGGAAUUCCAUGUGUAGCGGUGAGAUGCGUAGAUAUAUGGGGGAACAACAGUGGCGAAGGCGGCUCUCUGGUAUGUAACUGACGCUGAGGCUCGAAAGCGUGGGGAGCAAACAGG